Molecule: transfer-messenger RNA, 362 nt
Filed under: Leeia aquatica
Lineage: Bacteria; Pseudomonadati; Pseudomonadota; Betaproteobacteria; Neisseriales; Leeiaceae
Description: Standard tmRNA
Rfam family: transfer-messenger RNA
About the family: Bacterial tmRNA, also known as 10Sa RNA or SsrA, is named for its dual tRNA and mRNA-like properties. Its role is to liberate the mRNA from a stalled ribosome.
Source: Rfam by way of RNAcentral
GGGGGCGACCUGGUUUCGACGUGGGUUGCAAAGCAGACGAGGGCAUGCCGGGAUCUCAGUCACCCCGUAAAACACUGAAACGCUAUAGUCGCAAACGACGAAACUUACGCCCUCGCAGCCUAAAAAACUGCCGGCCGCUGUACCGGUUCUCUGAUGGGCCGGGCGGGCAACCGCAACAGCGUCAUUUACAUCAGAUCGUCCAGGAUCGGGCUGCUUGAUCCCGGGUUAAAUCCAAGGCAGCUCGCUGGUAACAAGCCUGUCGGUUGGCGUGUUGACGGUUAAAUCCAGUUAAUCAGACUAAGCAUGUAGAACUUGCUGUAGAGGGCUUGCGGACGCGGGUUCAAUUCCCGCCGCCUCCACCA